RNAcentral lists this small nuclear RNA (293 nucleotides) under Dasypus novemcinctus (nine-banded armadillo). Its description in RNAcentral is "7SK RNA (ENSDNOG00000048751.1)". It matches the Rfam family "7SK RNA". From Rfam's summary of the family: 7SK was discovered as an abundant small nuclear RNA in the mid-70s but a possible function has only recently been suggested. Two independent studies have found that 7SK RNA binds the CDK9/cyclin T complex (known as elongation factor P-TEFb). P-TEFb activates transcription by phosphorylating the C-terminal domain of RNA polymerase II. Lineage: Eukaryota; Metazoa; Chordata; Mammalia; Cingulata; Dasypodidae. The record is from RNAcentral.
GGAGGCUAGCCUCCAGGACGGCAACAUCUGUCACCCCACUGAUUGCCAGGGUAGAUUCGGCUGAUCUCCCUGGCUAGGCAGGUGUCCCCUUCCUCCCUCAUUGUUCCAUGUGUGUCCCUCCAGAAGCUGCGUGCUCAGUCAUAGAGGAUGACCUUCCCUGCUAGAGGAGAACUGUUCUUUGGUCAAGGAUAUACAGGUGGCUGCGCUGUCCUGCUAGAACCUCCAAACAAGCUUUCAAGACCGUCUCCAGGAUGGUCCCCAAUGAGUCCCACUUCUUGGUGUUCACACACUUG